This is a non-coding RNA of Onychostoma macrolepis, 390 nucleotides long. The record is from the annotation of a RefSeq genome assembly. Lineage: Eukaryota; Metazoa; Chordata; Actinopteri; Cypriniformes; Cyprinidae.
AUGUUGCUCCUGGUCCUCAUGAUAUUUUCGCUUUGUAAGGAUAAUGCUGAUGCUGAAGUAAUAACAUCAUUCUCCUCAAAGCAGCAUGUUUUGUCAGGAAGAGAUGUUACACUUUCCUGCAACUACAGUGGCAAUGUUCGCAGUCUGCAGUGGUACCGUCAGCAUCCCGGAUCCAAACCUGAGCACCUCAUUAUGUUCUUUGAGACCAUCCUCAAAUCAGAGCCCGCUCUCCGUCUGACCGCUGCAGCUGAUAAAGCAGCCAAAAGUAUGAAUCUGACCAUCUCUUCUACAGAAGUGAAAGACUCUGCCGUGUACUAUUGUGCCCUGCAGCCCACAGUGACAGGAAACACAACUGCACUGUACAAAAACAGAGUGAGAAAGUAUAUUUAA